AUUAAUAAUUAAUUCGGGCGAUGGCGAUGAUGUGCGGCCAAAUCGAAAUUCUGAAAUCAUUUGCCGAACAUCCUCGCCACUAUCCAGUUAAUUACAAGC
Molecule: non-coding RNA, 99 nt
Organism: Tribolium castaneum (red flour beetle)
Lineage: Eukaryota; Metazoa; Arthropoda; Insecta; Coleoptera; Tenebrionidae
Source: RefSeq, marked provisional